CAUUGUAGCUUUAGAUGAAUAUGGUAAUUUGAUGCAUAUCAUUUUUCAUAAAAGAAAAAUCUUAACUUGGGGUCAUAAUUAUAAGUUUAAACAGUUAUUAUUGAUUUUUGAUGCUUGAUCCUUUGCCUAAAUCUUAUUUUUUUAAUUAGAAAUUUACCCCAAGAAUAAUAAUGAAUGGUUGGUUUAAUUUACUUAUAAAACUGCAAACAGGAAACAAGGAUAAGGGAUGUAGAAAAAAUAAGUAGCAAACAUAAAGCUAUGUGUUUUGUGGAAUAAUACUUGGCUUAAACUCAUUUCUGAACUUAGAUAUGUUUUAUUAAUCUUGAAGUUUUGCAAAGGACUGAUAAAUUUACAUGCUAUCUUAUUUGUCCUUCAACUGGCAGCAUCAGUGUUUGGUGUUUUUCUCUUAUUGAUCUAUUGUUAAAUACUCAUUUGAAUAUAUAAAAUUUAUGAUUGAGAACAACAAUUCAGUAUAGUAGAUGGUGUAUCAAUUGGAUUAAUUUACAUCCAGAUUCACGGGAUGGCAGAAUCAGUGCAUUCAAUUUAAAAAUAUGAUCUAAAAUAUUUCUGGUACAUGCAUGAAUUCUGUAUGCUGG
This 596-nucleotide unclassified non-coding RNA is filed under the name Hevea brasiliensis (rubber tree). Lineage: Eukaryota; Viridiplantae; Streptophyta; Magnoliopsida; Malpighiales; Euphorbiaceae. The record is from RNAcentral.